This 492-nucleotide ribosomal RNA is filed under the name uncultured bacterium. RNAcentral describes it as "partial 16S ribosomal RNA". It matches the Rfam family "Bacterial small subunit ribosomal RNA", at positions 29 to 507 of the family's 1533-position model. The record is from RNAcentral.
AGUGAACGCUGGCGGUAUGCCUAACACAUGCAAGUCGAACGGCAACACAGUAAGAUUUUGCUCUUACGGUUGGCGAGUGGCGGACGGGUAAGGAAUAGAUCAGAAUCUACUUUGUCGUGGGGGAUAACGUAAGGAAACUGACGCUAAUACCGCAUACAACCUACGGGUGAAAGCAGUGGAUCUUGAGACCUUGCGCGAUUCAAUGAGCCGAUGUCGGAUUAGCUAGUUGGCGGGGUAAAGGCCCACCAAGGCGAAGAUACGUAGCGCGUCUGAGAGGAUGAGCAGCCCCACUGGAAAUGAGACACGGUGCCGACUCCCCCAGGAGGCACAAGUGGGGAAAAUUUGCCGAUGGGCGCAAGCCUGAUCCAGCCCAACCCCGCGGGAGAAGAAGGCCUUUGGGUUUUAAAGACCUUUUGUUGGGAAAGAAAAGAAGCAGGUUAAUACCCCGCCGUUCUGACGGUACCCAAAGAAUAAGCACCGGCUAAAUUCGUG